RNAcentral lists this long non-coding RNA (483 nucleotides) under Homo sapiens (human). Its description in RNAcentral is "long non-coding RNA NONHSAT072746.2". Lineage: Eukaryota; Metazoa; Chordata; Mammalia; Primates; Hominidae. The record is from RNAcentral.
AAGAGAGCAAUCACUACACUUAUGGCUGGGAUUUUGCGCUUAGUAGUUCAAUGGCCCCCAGGCAGACUACAGACUGUGACAAAAGGUGUGGAGUCUCUUAUUUGUACAGAUUGGAUUCGUCACAAAUUCACCAGAUCAAGAAUUCCAGAAAAAGUGUUUCAGGCCUCACCUGAAGAUCAUGAAAAAUACGGUGGGGAUCCACAGAACCCUCAUAAACUGCAUAUUGUUACCAGAAUAAAAAGUACAAGAAGACGUCCAUAUUGGGAAAAAGAUAUAAUAAAGAUGCUUGGAUUAGAAAAAGCACAUACCCCUCAAGUUCACAAGAAUAUCCCUUCAGUGAAUGCAAAAUUGAAAGUAGUUAAGCAUUUGAUAAGGUUUGUUGUUUCUUCUCAGCUCUUUUUAAAAUGUAUUGCCUAGUGUAAUUCUAAAUGCAUUUUUCUUUUUUCGUUAAUGUUCUGAAAAAAACUUUUUAAAAAACUAAAA